RNAcentral lists this ribosomal RNA (403 nucleotides) under uncultured bacterium. RNAcentral describes it as "partial 16S ribosomal RNA". It matches the Rfam family "Bacterial small subunit ribosomal RNA", at positions 355 to 774 of the family's 1533-position model. The record is from RNAcentral.
CGAGGAAUAUUGCACAAUGGAGGCAACUCUGAUGCAGUAACGCCGCGUGAGGGAAGAAGAUUUUCGGAUUGUAAACCUCUUUUUGUAGAGACGAGCGAGGACGGUAUCUAUAGAAUAAGUCUCGGCUAACUACGUGCCAGCAGCCGCGGUAAGACGUAGGAGGCGAGCGUUAUCCGGAUUCACUGGGCGUAAAGCGCAUGUAGGCGGUUGUGCAAGUCGUGUGUGAAAGUCCCCGGCUCAACUGGGGGAGGUCAUGCGAAACUGUGCGACUGGAGGGCAGGAGAGGAACGUGGAACUCCCGGUGUAGCGGUGGAAUGCGUAGAGAUCGGGAAGAACACCAGUGGCGAAAGCGACGUUCUGGUCUGCACCUGACGCUGAGAUGCGAAAGUGUGGGUAGCAAACG